AUGGAAAGAAGAUACUUAAUCGAUAAACCAAAUCUGAAUUGAGAAGAGCUAGUAGAAGCAGUGAAUAGAAGAUUUGAUAACGGCAGUAUGAAGCAGCUAAUUAGAAAAUUUAAUAAAUUAAUACAAAUAGGUACUAUGAAGAAAUAUCAGGAGAAGUUUGAAGACAUGAGAGCUAGAAUGUUGCAUUACAACUCAGCACUAACUGAAAGAUACUUCAUAGAAAGUUAUAUCGGUGG
RNAcentral lists this long non-coding RNA (236 nucleotides) under Elaeis guineensis (African oil palm). RNAcentral's name for it is "long non-coding RNA (EGUI_LNC073704)". The record is from RNAcentral. Lineage: Eukaryota; Viridiplantae; Streptophyta; Magnoliopsida; Arecales; Arecaceae.